Molecule: small nuclear RNA, 107 nt
Organism: Octodon degus (degu)
Lineage: Eukaryota; Metazoa; Chordata; Mammalia; Rodentia; Octodontidae
Source: Ensembl
GUACUAGCUUCAGUAGUACAUACACUAAACUUAGAAUGAUACAGAAAGGAUUAGCAUGGCCCCUGUGCAAGAAUGACACCCAAAUUCCUGAACUGUUCUGUAUUUUC